Molecule: ribosomal RNA, 301 nt
Filed under: uncultured bacterium
Lineage: Bacteria
Description: partial 16S ribosomal RNA
Rfam family: Bacterial small subunit ribosomal RNA
Source: RNAcentral
CAGUCGCCACGGUAAUACGGAGGGUGCAAGCGUUAAUCGGAAUUACUGGGCGUAAAGCGCACGCAGGCGGUCUGUCAAGUCAGAUGUGAAAUCCCCGGGCUUAACCUGGGAACUGCAUUUGAAACUGGCAGGCUAGAGUCUUGUAGAGGGGGGUAGAAUUCCAGGUGUAGCGGUGAAAUGCGUAGAGAUCUGUAGGAAUACCGAUGGCGAAGGCAGCCAUCUGGCCUAAUACUGACGCUGAGGUACGAAAGCAUGGGGAGCAAACAGGAUUAGAUACCCGAGUAGUCCCUGUCUCUUAUAC